UACGUACGAGGCGAGCGUUAUCCGGAAUUACUGGGCGUAAAGCGCGCGCAGGUGGCUUGCUAAGUCGGACGUGAAAUCUCCCGGCCUAACUGGGAGGGGUCGUCCGAGACUGGCCGGCUUGAGGCUGGCAGAGGUAGGUGGAAUUCCUGGUGUAGUGGUGAAAUGCGUAGAGAUCAGGAGGAACACCGGUGGCGAAGGCGGCCUACUGGGCCAGCACUGACACUGAGGCGCGAAAGCUCGGGGAGCGAACGGG
Molecule: ribosomal RNA, 253 nt
Filed under: uncultured bacterium
Lineage: Bacteria
Description: partial 16S ribosomal RNA
Rfam family: Bacterial small subunit ribosomal RNA
Source: RNAcentral